RNAcentral lists this ribosomal RNA (468 nucleotides) under uncultured bacterium. RNAcentral's name for it is "partial 16S ribosomal RNA". It matches the Rfam family "Bacterial small subunit ribosomal RNA", at positions 28 to 507 of the family's 1533-position model. The record is from RNAcentral.
GACGAACGCUGGCGGCGUGCUUAACACAUGCAAGUCGAACGGAAAGGCCCUGCUCUUUUGGGGUGCUCGAGUGGCGAACGGGUGAGUAACACGUGAGUAACCUGCCCUUGACUUUGGGAUAACUUCAGGAAACUGGGGCUAAUACCGGAUAGGAGCUCCUGCUGCAUGGUGGGGGAUGGAAAGUUUCGGCGGUUGGGGAUGGACUCGCGGCUUAUCAGCUUGUUGGUGGGGUAGUGGCUUACCAAGGCUUUGACGGGUAGCCGGCCUGAGAGGGUGACCGGCCACAUGGGGACUAAGGUACGGCCCAGACUCCUACGGGAGGCAGCAGGGGGGAAUAUUGCACAGUGGGCGGAAGCCUGAUGCAGCAACGCCGCGUGCGGGAUGACGGCCUUCGGGUUGUAAACCGCUUUCGCCUGUGACGAAGCGUGAGUGACGGUAAUUGGUAAAGAAGCACCGGCUAACUAUGUG